RNAcentral lists this ribosomal RNA (442 nucleotides) under uncultured bacterium. RNAcentral describes it as "partial 16S ribosomal RNA". It matches the Rfam family "Bacterial small subunit ribosomal RNA", at positions 338 to 795 of the family's 1533-position model. The record is from RNAcentral.
CCUACGGGAGGCAGCAGUGGGGAAUAUUGGGCAAUGGGCGCAAGCCUGACCCAGCAACGCCGCGUGAAGGAAGAAGGCUUUCGGGUUGUAAACUUCUUUUGACAGGGAAGAGCAGAAGACGGUACCUGUCGAAUAAGCCACGGCUAACUACGUGCCAGCCGCCGCGGUAAUACGUAGGUGGCACGCGUUGUCCGGAUUUACUGGGGGUAAAGGGCGUGUAGCCGGGCUGACAAGUCAGAUGUGAAAUCCGGGGGCUCAACCCCCGAACUGCAUUUGAAACUGUUGGUCUUGUGUAGCGGAGAGGCAGGCGGAAUUCAUGGUGUAGCGGUGAAAUGCGUAGAGAUUAGGAGGAACACCAGUGGCGAAGGCGGCCUGCUGGACGACAACUGACGGUGAGGCGCGAAAGCGUGGGGAGCAAACAGGAUUAGAUACCCUUGUAGUC